UUUUUUAUGCUUGCCUGCAUUAAUUCACAAUUUUCAUCUCAAUCGUAUUUUGACCCUUGGCUUGCAUCUAAAGAAGCGUCAAAGUCAAUGUUUGAAUUUUGACUUUACUAUUCUAGGCUUUUCUUCAUAUUUCAUAUAUGUCUUUAUUUUUUUAAUUUUUUAUUCGACCUUUUAAUUUUUAUGCAUAUAAUUGUUUUAGUUAUUUUUUUCAAUUAAAAUUUAAGAUUUCACAGUAGGUGUCCUCUUUGCUAUUAUCAUUUGUCUCAAAUUAUUUGUCACUUUAGAAUAUCAAUGUGAUAUUUAUUUUUUUCCACAAACAUACCCUUAUUUAUUAUAUUUUAAAUUAUGUAACUACUCCACUACCUACUAUUAAUAAGGUUAUUUUCGUAAAUUGCAUUUGUUUUAUUAUUGAAAUCAAGACAAUUAAUCAUUAUCUUAAAAAGUGUGAAAAUCCCAAAGAGAACACCUAUUGUGAGAUGAAGGGAGUAAUAUUUAGUUGAAAUGCAUUCAAUAUUGAAAAAAUGUGAUUUUUCCAUGACAAAAAUACUUUCAAGUUUAUGUAACUUUUUACGGAUUUUAUUGAAAUACUAUAAAAGCAUUUCAUUUAAGUAUAGUAUUAACUAUUUUUUUAUUAAUGUGUUCAUUACUAAUUAUUAAGUAGUCAAAUUUAAUAAUAUUUUAUAAAAUGCAGUUAUCUAUGAUGUCUAUAUAAUGAAAACAUGAUUUUAGCCUUUCAUCAUGCAAUAAAAAAU
RNAcentral lists this long non-coding RNA (752 nucleotides) under Lathyrus oleraceus (garden pea). RNAcentral's name for it is "Pisum sativum (pea) long non-coding RNA (PSAT_LNC041074)". Lineage: Eukaryota; Viridiplantae; Streptophyta; Magnoliopsida; Fabales; Fabaceae. The record is from RNAcentral.